Molecule: ribosomal RNA, 433 nt
Filed under: uncultured bacterium
Lineage: Bacteria
Description: partial 16S ribosomal RNA
Rfam family: Bacterial small subunit ribosomal RNA
Source: RNAcentral
AACGAACGCUGGCGGCAUGCCUAACACAUGCAAGUCGAACGAGACCUUCGGGUCUAGUGGCGCACGGGUGCGUAACGCGUGGGAACCUGCCCUUAGGUUCGGAAUAACUCCCCGAAAGGGGUGCUAAUACCGGAUAAUGUCUUCGGACCAAAGAUUGAUCGCCUUUGGAUGGGCCCGCGUUGGAUUAGCUAGUUGGUAGGGUAAAAGCCUACCAAGGCGACGAUCCAUAGCUGGUCUGAGAGGAUGAUCAGCCACACUGGGACUGAGACACGGCCCAGACUCCUACGGGAGGCAGCAGUGGGGAAUAUUGGACAAUGGGCGAAAGCCUGAUCCAGCAAUGCCGCGUGAGUGAUGAAGGCCUUAGGGUUGUAAAGCUCUUUUACCCGGGAUGAUAAUGACAUUACCGGGAGAAUAAGCUCCGGCUAACUCCGUG